GCCUAACCCGUAAGGGAGGGAGCUGUCGAAGGUGGGGUCGGCGAUUGGGACGAAGUCGUAACAAGGUAGCCGUACCGGAAGGUGCGGCUGGAUCACCUCCUUUCUAAGGAGCA
RNAcentral lists this ribosomal RNA (113 nucleotides) under Trebonia kvetii. RNAcentral describes it as "Actinobacteria bacterium 15TR583 partial 16S ribosomal RNA". It matches the Rfam family "Bacterial small subunit ribosomal RNA", at positions 1433 to 1533 of the family's 1533-position model. The record is from RNAcentral. Lineage: Bacteria; Bacillati; Actinomycetota; Actinomycetes; Streptosporangiales; Treboniaceae.